RNAcentral lists this ribosomal RNA (495 nucleotides) under uncultured bacterium. Its description in RNAcentral is "bacterial SSU rRNA". It matches the Rfam family "Bacterial small subunit ribosomal RNA", at positions 8 to 518 of the family's 1533-position model. The record is from RNAcentral.
AGAGUUGUCAUGGCUCAGAACGAACGCUGGUGGCGUGUCUUAUACAUGCAAGUCGAGCGAGGCAGCAAUGCCGAGCGGCGAACGGGUGAGUAACGCGUAAGCAAUCUGCCCCAUAUCAGGAAAUACCCGUGCCAACGCGCGGUUAAUGUCCAGGAGAGUGGCCCUCCGCAUGGAGGGUUGACUAGAGAUUCAUCGGUAUGGGAUGAGCUUGCGUCCGAUUAGCUAGUUGGCGGGGCAACGGCCACCAAGGCGACGAUCGGUAGCCGGCCUGAGAGGGUGAUCGGCCACAUUGGGACUGAGAUACGGCCCAGACUCCUACGGGAGGCAGCAGUAGGGAAUAUUGCACAAUGGGGGAAACCCUGAUGCAGCAACGCCACGUGUGGGAAGAAGCAUUUCGGUGUGUAAACCACUGUCAUGAGGGAAUAAGGCCCGCCUUCGGACGGGAUUGAAUGUACCUUGAGAGGAAGCACCGGCAAACUUCGUGCCAGCAGCUGC